Molecule: ribosomal RNA, 234 nt
Filed under: Prorocentrum minimum
Lineage: Eukaryota; Dinophyceae; Prorocentrales; Prorocentraceae
Description: partial Bacterial small subunit ribosomal RNA
Rfam family: Bacterial small subunit ribosomal RNA
Source: RNAcentral
CGUCGAUUGACGUUACCCGCAGAAGAAGCACCGGCUAACUCCGUGCCAGCAGCCGCGGUAAUACGGAGGGUGCAAGCGUUAAUCGGAAUUACUGGGCGUAAAGCGCACGCAGGCGGUCUGUUAAGUCAGAUGUGAAAUCCCCGGGCUUAACCUGGGAACUGCAUUUGAAACUGGCAGGCUAGAGUCUUGUAGAGGGGGGUAGAAUUCCAGGUGUAGCGGUGAAAUGCGUAGAGA